Molecule: non-coding RNA, 21 nt
Filed under: Arabidopsis thaliana (thale cress)
Lineage: Eukaryota; Viridiplantae; Streptophyta; Magnoliopsida; Brassicales; Brassicaceae
Source: RNAcentral
UUACCUCGGGUUAGACCGUUA